RNAcentral lists this ribosomal RNA (433 nucleotides) under uncultured bacterium. RNAcentral describes it as "partial 16S ribosomal RNA". It matches the Rfam family "Bacterial small subunit ribosomal RNA", at positions 29 to 507 of the family's 1533-position model. The record is from RNAcentral.
AACGAACGCUGGCAGCAUGCCUAACACAUGCAAGUCGAACGAGACCUUCGGGUCUAGUGGCGCACGGGUGCGUAACGCGUGGGAACCUGCCCUUAGGUUCGGAAUAACUCCCCGAAAGGGGUGCUAAUACCGGAUAAUGUCUUCGGACCAAAGAUUUAUCGCCUUUGGAUGGGCCCGCGUUGGAUUAGCUAGUUGGUAGGGUAAAAGCCUACCAAGGCGACGAUCCAUAGCUGGUCUGAUAGGAUGAUCAGCCACACUGGGACUGAGACACGGCCCAGACUCCUACGGGAGGCAGCAGUGGGGAAUAUUGGACAAUGGGCGAAAGCCUGAUCCAGCAAUGCCGCGUGAGUGAUGAAGGCCUUAGGGUUGUAAAGCUCUUUUACCCGGGAUGAUAAUGACAGUACCGGGAGAAUAAGCUCCGGCUAACUCCGUG